Molecule: long non-coding RNA, 642 nt
Filed under: Cairina moschata (Muscovy duck)
Lineage: Eukaryota; Metazoa; Chordata; Aves; Anseriformes; Anatidae
Description: domestica (muscovy Duck (domestic type)) lncRNA (ENSCMMG00000009076.1)
Source: RNAcentral
CUAGCAACUUUUGAUUAAGGAAGUUGAAAAACUGUUUCUUAUUUAAAUAGAUUGACAGAGAUAACGAUGCCAUUGCAUUUGAAAUUAAGGUACAGCAACUGACCCCAUCUGAAGAGGAGGGAGGAAAGGAAGUUUUUUUGCUGUUGGGGAAGCAAAAGGCCUGAACUGUAAAGCCAGUGGUGAUUUGUCAGACACGCAUGAGGAAGCAGAAAAGUUCCAAGAAAACCCAAGCAUCCAAAAUCUCAAAUGAUUGUUCCACAUCAGAAAAAAAGGAGAAAAAGCAGUCUUCAAAUGUGAUUUGUGCACAUUCACCUCACUCAGCAUAUCAAGUAUUAACCAUCACAUGAAAAUUCGUUCUGAAGAAAAAUAUCAUGUGUGUCACCUCUGCCUUAAGGCUUUUCAUUCAGCUACUCUCGUGCCUAACCAUGUGAAUGCAGGAGGUACCUCACAAAAACCUACAUCCAGGUUGUAUGGAGGAGUUUCUUCUCAAAGCCACAAAAAUAGCCCAGAUCUCCAUGAAGCCGUUUCAUGUCUCAAAUUGCUUCGUUCUCAACUCUACUUAAAAACUCCAUCUAGCUAUACAAGGCACUAAAAUAUAUUGAAUACUUUAUAUAUAUAUUUAUGUUUUUGCAUAUGGAAAAU